This 412-nucleotide ribosomal RNA is filed under the name uncultured bacterium. RNAcentral's name for it is "bacterial SSU rRNA". It matches the Rfam family "Bacterial small subunit ribosomal RNA", at positions 8 to 422 of the family's 1533-position model. The record is from RNAcentral.
AGAGUUUGAUCCUGGCUCAGAUUGAACGCUGGCGGCAUGCCUUACACAUGCAAGUCGAACGGCAGCACGGGAGCAAUCCUGGUGGCGAGUGGCGAACGGGUGAGUAAUAUAUCGGAACGUGCCCAGUCGUGGGGGAUAACGUAGCGAAAGCUACGCUAAUACCGCAUACGAUCUAUGGAUGAAAGCGGGGGAUCGCAAGACCUCGCGCGAUUGGAGCGGCCGAUAUCAGAUUAGCUAGUUGGUGGGGUAAAAGCCCACCAAGGCGACGAUCUGUAGCUAGUCUGAGAGGACGACCAGCCACACUGGAACUGAGACACGGUCCAGACUCCUACGGGAGGCAGCAGUGGGGAAUUUUGGACAAUGGGCGCAAGCCUGAUCCAGCAAUGCCGCGUGCAGGACGAAGGCCUUCGGG